RNAcentral lists this transfer-messenger RNA (370 nucleotides) under Vibrio parahaemolyticus. It matches the Rfam family "transfer-messenger RNA". Rfam says of the family: Bacterial tmRNA, also known as 10Sa RNA or SsrA, is named for its dual tRNA and mRNA-like properties. Its role is to liberate the mRNA from a stalled ribosome. To accomplish this part of the tmRNA is used as a reading frame that ends in a translation stop signal. The record is from RNAcentral. Lineage: Bacteria; Pseudomonadati; Pseudomonadota; Gammaproteobacteria; Vibrionales; Vibrionaceae.
GGGGCUGAUUUAGGAUUCGACGGGAAUUCAGAAGUCUGAGGUGCAUGCCGAGGUGCGGUAGGCCUCGUUAACAAACCGCAAAAAAAAUAGUCGCAAACGACGAAAAACUACGCACUAGCAGCUUAAUACCCUGCUCAGAGCUCUCUCGCCCUAGCUUCCGCACGUAAGACGGGGAAUAACGAGAGAUCAAACCCAAACGCGCUAGCCCGGAUUCUCCCGCCUGAGAGAUGAACGGCGAAUUAUAAUUCAGGAUAGUCAUUCAUUAGCGUGUCGGUUCGCAGGUGGAUGGUGAAUUUAAAGAUCGACUAAGCAUGUAGUACCAAUGAUGAAAGGUUUUCGGACGCGGGUUCAACUCCCGCCAGCUCCACCA